RNAcentral lists this ribosomal RNA (253 nucleotides) under uncultured bacterium. RNAcentral's name for it is "partial 16S ribosomal RNA". It matches the Rfam family "Bacterial small subunit ribosomal RNA", at positions 524 to 776 of the family's 1533-position model. The record is from RNAcentral.
UACAGAGGGGGCAAGCGUUAUUCGGAAUUAUUGGGCGUAAAGGGCGCGUAGGCGGCCUGGCAAGUGGAAGGUGAAAUCCCUCGGCUUAACCGAGGAACUGCCUCCCAAACUGCUUGGCUUGAGACCGGGAGAGGUGAGUGGAAUUCCCAGUGUAGCGGCGAAAUGCGUAGAUAUUGGGAGGAACACCAGUGGCGAAGGCGGCUCACUGGACCGGUACUGACGCUGAUGCGCGAAAGCGUGGGGAGCAAACGGG